RNAcentral lists this unclassified non-coding RNA (891 nucleotides) under Pectinophora gossypiella (pink bollworm). RNAcentral's name for it is "peptidyl-prolyl cis-trans isomerase NIMA-interacting 4". Lineage: Eukaryota; Metazoa; Arthropoda; Insecta; Lepidoptera; Gelechiidae. The record is from RNAcentral.
GGUUACAUUUUUAUUUACUAUUUUGUGUGUUUGGUGAGAGGUUAUAAAGCAAAUAAGAAAAUAUAAUAUUAUUUUAAUAACAAAAUGCCUCCAAAAAAACAACCCGAGAAAGGUGGUAAAGCGAGUGGAGGCAAAGGUGGCGCUGGAAAAUCUAGUGGUGAUGCAAAAGAAUCGGGAGCAAAGGAGAAAAAAGGCGGUACAGCUGUCAAAGUACGUCACAUACUGUGUGAGAAACAGUCAAAAUGUUUGGAAGCUUUGGAAAAAUUGAAGGCAGGACAGAAGUUCCCUGAUGUAGCAGCGGCUUACAGUGAGGACAAAGCUCGGCAGGGCGGAGACCUGGGGUGGAUGACCCGGGGCUCCAUGGUCGGCCCAUUCCAGGAUGCUGCAUUCGCCUUGCCGAUAUCGACAGUCAACAGUCCUGUGUAUACCGAUCCGCCCGUCAAAACAAAGUUUGGAUAUCAUAUCAUAAUGGUUGAAGGAAAAAAAUGACCCAAAUGGCGUUCGAAUUUGAAUAUUUCUGGGCGAUACUACUCUUGUUCAUUAUGGAAAGGAUCUGCUGUUUGCAGGAGCAAUUUGACAAGGAUGUCUCGCUGUUGCCGGACCCUGAGAGGUCUAAUGAGUCCCUACACUCUAAUAUAGAUGAUUUUUCUAAUAGAGACUCAGGAUUAAAGUUGAGCUUCCUCCGCCUCUGCCGGCUGAUGCACGUGACUAUGCUGUUAUCUCUUGUCUACUUCUGCAACAUCUGCCUCUGGUUCAUAAUGACCAAGAAGAACACGCCCAGAUCGCUCCGUUACAGGUUUCGUGUAACAGUUCCAUCUUAAACAUUAUACCAUAUUUAAGACAAAUUCGUUGUUAAGCUAAUGAAAAAUAAAUGCGUUUUCUAUGUUCCCA